This 884-nucleotide ribosomal RNA is filed under the name Bacillus amyloliquefaciens. RNAcentral describes it as "bacterial SSU rRNA". It matches the Rfam family "Bacterial small subunit ribosomal RNA", at positions 1 to 877 of the family's 1533-position model. The record is from RNAcentral. Lineage: Bacteria; Bacillati; Bacillota; Bacilli; Caryophanales; Bacillaceae.
UAAAAGAGAAAUUUCCUCUAUCAUGACGAACGCGGCGGCGUGCUAAUACAUGCAAGUCGAGCGGACAGAUGGGAGCUUGCUCUGAUGUAGCGGCGGACGGGUGAGUAACACGUGGGUAACUGCCUGUAAGACUGGGAUAACUCCGGGAAACCGGGGCUAAUACCGGAUGCUUGUUUGAACCGCAUGGUUCAAACAUAAAAGGUGGCUUCGGCUACCACUUACAGAUGGACCCGCGGCGCAUAGCUAGUUGGUGAGGUAAUGGCUCACCAAGGCAACGAUGCGUAGCCGACCUGAGAGGGUGAUCGGCCACACUGGGACUGAGACACGGCCCAGACUCCUACGGGAGGCAGCAGUAGGGAAUCUUCCGCAAUGGACGAAAGUCUGACGGAGCAACGCCGCGUGAGUGAUGAAGGUUUUCGGAUCGUAAAGCUCUGUUGUUAGGGAAGAACAAGUACCGUUCGAAUAGGGCGGUACCUUGACGGUACCUAACCAGAAAGCCACGGCUAACUACGUGCCAGCAGCCGCGGUAAUACGUAGGUGGCAAGCGUUGUCCGGAAUUAUUGGGCGUAAAGGGCUCGCAGGCGGUUUCUUAAGUCUGAUGUGAAAGCCCCCGGCUCAACCGGGGAGGGUCAUUGGAAACUGGGGAACUUGAGUGCAGAAGAGGAGAGUGGAAUUCCACGUGUAGCGGUGAAAUGCGUAGAGAUGUGGAGGAACACCAGUGGCGAAGGCGACUCUCUGGUCUGUAACUGACGCUGAGGAGCGAAAGCGUGGGGAGCGAACAGGAUUAGAUACCCUGGUAGUCCACGCCGUAAACGAUGAGUGCUAAGUGUUAGGGGGUUUCCGCCCCUUAGUGCUGCAGCUAACGCAUAAGCACUCCGCAUUGG